GAUGAAGAACGUAGCGAAAUGCGAUAACUAAUGUGAAUUGCAGAAUUCCGUGAAUCAUCGAGUCUUUGAACGCACAUUGCGCCCCCUGGUAUUCCGGGGGGCAUGCCUGUCCGAGCGUCAUUACAACCCUCAAGCCCGGCUUGUGUAAUGGGCGGCCGUCUCUCCCCCCGGGGGGAGACGCCCCCGAAACUCAGUGGGGAUGUCGCGAUACCGAAGCCUCAGCUAAUGGGUAAACCACAGCUGCAAUGGCCGCGGCCGGCGUCCGCCUUCCACGGUCCGUCCGCCUAGCGCGGGCGGCCUUCUCAAGGUUGACCUCGGAUCAGGUAGGGAUACCCGCUGAACUUAAGCAUACCAAUAAGCGGAGGA
This 366-nucleotide unclassified non-coding RNA is filed under the name soil metagenome. Its description in RNAcentral is "partial contains 5.8S ribosomal RNA, internal transcribed spacer 2, and large subunit ribosomal RNA". The stretch from base 1 to 120 matches the Rfam family "5.8S ribosomal RNA", at positions 35 to 154 of the family's 154-position model. The record is from RNAcentral.